This is an RNA transcript of Elephantulus edwardii (Cape elephant shrew), 1861 nucleotides long. It is a transcript of the gene named profilin-2-like, with no coding region annotated. The transcript has 2 exons. NCBI's taxonomy places the organism in Eukaryota, Metazoa, Chordata, Mammalia, Macroscelidea, Macroscelididae. The record is from RefSeq and is a predicted model, not a curated record.
GCCAAUAGAAAUAGAUAUGAUUGUAGGAAAAGAUCGGGAAGGUUUCUUUACCAACGGCUUGACCCUUGGCGCGAAGAAGUGCUCAGUGAUCAGAGAUAGUCUCUACGUUGAUGGUGACUGCACAAUGGACAUCCGGACAAAGAGUCAAGGUGGAGAGCCAACAUACAACGUUGCUGUCGGCAGAGCUGGUAGAGUCUUGGUCUUUGUAAUGGGAAAAGAAGGGGUCCAUGGAGGCGGAUUGAAUAAGAAGGCAUACUCAAUGGCAAAAUACUUGAGAGACUCUGGGUUCUAGCUGCUAGGCAGACUGUUAAGUAUUAGGGGAAAAUUGCUCUUAAACUUUCCUAGCUGUAAGCUUGAGUCUUAAUUCUGGAAAUUUUAUUAGCAAUGCAGGGUGAUGGGGUAUGAACCUGUGUCUCCUUUGUAUCCCUCUGUUGGUGGGGAAAGGUGUCUUUCUUUCUGCCCUCCCCCCCUUAAAUAAUUCUGUUCACUUUUGUUUUGUUUCCUUGUGUACUCCAGCAUUGGUUAUAGUCAUGGGAAAGGAAGGUGUCCACGGAGGCACACUUAACAAGAAAGCAUAUGAACUCGCUUUAUACCUGAGGAGGUCUGAUGUGUAAGCAGCCUCUCCCCAUCUGCCUAGCAACUGUCUUCAUCACCACCCCAGUUACGGUCACAGUGCUACCAGACUAUAGAUGGUAGCUGGUCUUUCGUUACCUAUUUUCUAAUGUCACAAUUCCUGUAUGUCCAAUGGAUCAUUUGUAUGUUAACCAUUGUAUGUAACCAAACUUUAUCUGGCAAAAUAAUUGCAGCACAAUAAUGAUUUGCAUGAUACCUUGAAAUUUGGGGGGAGGGGGCAUGCCAAGUUGGGCAUCACUUUGUCUUAGCAAUUAAUGAGAUACUGAUUACUAAAAAAUAAGGUAAUAUUAAGCAAGGUGCCGGUUGUACAAUCUCUGAUUUGAUCAAUGUCUUUUCAGCACUUUUGAGCAUUUACUUGGCUCAUUUCAGUCUUCCUUUUGUUGCGCAUGGUUGGGAGGAAAACAUGCAUGCAUCUUUCCUUCACUACUCUCUUCUCAUCUCUCCUGUCGCACACAAAGUACAUUUGGGUUGCUUCCAUCUUAAUGCAGUGCCUGGUUUAUUGAACCAAUUAAAAGCCCUUUUGUUGAGAGUUGGAGUAGUUUGUUUUCAGUGUGGUUGCACUUGAAACCACAGUCGUUGCCUCACUUGGUACCUCUAGGACAUACUAAGAGUGCAACUACAGAACCCAGAGCAAAGGCACUUCCUCCCGUGACCUCACAGUAACCACGCUGAUUGAUCCCCAGGGACAUUCCAUCACAAUAGCUCAAAUUUUUAUUCCUGUCUUUUCUUUGCACACCAGCUCUACUCUUUAGUAAAAUUGUGAAAGGCUGCCAUUACGGACAUUAGGUAUCCCCAGUAACCGUCUGGAGUGUGUCCAGUUUGUUCUUCAUAGGACCAAUUUUUAUUUGCAGCUUGAGUUUUUCUAUGAAGUUGCAUUAUUGUGGACUUGGCUGUCUUGUGAUGAAUUUUUUCAUAUGUAUUCCGUGCCAUACUAUUGUUAAAAUGAACUGUUGCUAUUGUGAGAUGGACUUUAACUGACCUAUUAAGGAUUUCUUUGGAAUGGCACUACUUUAGGGACAUUCUAGUAUUUGCUUCUAUUGUUUGGGCCUUGUGGAUAAUGUACAGAUUUAAAAACAAAUCUUGUUGCUGAUUUGUCCAUUUCUUUCCCUGCACUUUGUUACAUCUGGGAUACAGUCUAACUCAUCUGAUUUAAUAUGCAUUUAAAAAAAUGCCAUAACUAUUAAACACCUUGUUUACAGACAGAUGAAAUAAAUUUAUUCCAACCAAA